GGUGUGGCUCAGUUGGUAGAGCGCCUGGUUUGGGACCAGGAUGCCGCAGGUUCGAAUCCUGUCACU
Molecule: transfer RNA, 66 nt
Filed under: bovine gut metagenome
Rfam family: tRNA
About the family: Transfer RNA (tRNA) molecules are approximately 80 nucleotides in length. Their secondary structure includes four short double-helical elements and three loops (D, anti-codon, and T loops).
Source: RNAcentral